RNAcentral lists this transfer RNA (72 nucleotides) under Ornithorhynchus anatinus (platypus). It matches the Rfam family "tRNA". From Rfam's summary of the family: Transfer RNA (tRNA) molecules are approximately 80 nucleotides in length. Their secondary structure includes four short double-helical elements and three loops (D, anti-codon, and T loops). The record is from Rfam by way of RNAcentral. Lineage: Eukaryota; Metazoa; Chordata; Mammalia; Monotremata; Ornithorhynchidae.
GGCAGUGUGGUCUAGUGGAAAGAGCACGCACCUGGGCGUCAAAGGACCUGGGUUCUAAUCCCAGCUCUGCCA